CUUGCUUGGGGUACUCGAGUGGCGAACGGGUGAGUAGUACGUGGGUAACCUGCCCUCUUCUUUGGGAUAAGCCCCGGAAACGGGGUCUAAUACCGGAUAUUCUGCUUCUGCCGCAUGGUGGGGGUUGGAAAGGUUUUCGUGGGGGAUGGGCCCGCGGCCUAUCAGCUUGUUGGUGGGGUGAUGGCCUACCAAGGCUUCGACGGGUAGCCGGCCUGAGAGGGUGACCGGCCACAUUGGGACUGAGACACGGCCCAGACUCCUACGGGAGGCAGCAGCG
RNAcentral lists this ribosomal RNA (277 nucleotides) under uncultured Arcanobacterium sp. Its description in RNAcentral is "partial 16S ribosomal RNA". It matches the Rfam family "Bacterial small subunit ribosomal RNA", at positions 76 to 356 of the family's 1533-position model. The record is from RNAcentral. Lineage: Bacteria; Bacillati; Actinomycetota; Actinomycetes; Actinomycetales; Actinomycetaceae.